Molecule: long non-coding RNA, 3708 nt
Organism: Oncorhynchus tshawytscha (Chinook salmon)
Lineage: Eukaryota; Metazoa; Chordata; Actinopteri; Salmoniformes; Salmonidae
Exons: 5
Source: RefSeq, a predicted model, not a curated record
AGGUGAGGGGCGUUCCAAACUAAUUAGUGAUUUUAGUUCAAUCAAUCAAGUACAAAGGAGGAGCGAAAACCCGCAGACUCUCGGCCAAAUAAGUUUGACAAGUGCAUUUAUAGAUGAUAAAAAGCUACUUUCAGAUCCACUAAUGGUUUGGGUGUUUUGAUAACAAUAUCAGUUUAUAUACGAAAUAUGUAUUAAAUGUAUUGCAGUCAUAUCCACACUGUUCAGUUUUGUUUCUGUUUCCAAUGAACGUGCAAAUGUUUCUUCAAUUGUGGCAAUUUGGGUGUUGUACUAUCACAGAUGCCUUGGACCCGUGAAAGCUAUCAGAAUACUCGGGAACCAAUUAGCCUCUUGAGUCAUUGAAAUUAUGUCUCAAAAAAAUAAUUUGCUCAAACCCCAAAUAUGCAUGGGGAAAAGCACACGUUCUUGAAGAAUGACAUACUGACUGACUUGCUACUUACUGCAAGCGGGCUACACCAGUGAAAAAUUGACGUCACUCACAUCUGCCUGACCUGCGUAUUGGAUGGGUAGCUAUCUAGCCUAGCCACUGUGCUUUCAGCAAUUCUUCCUACUAGCUAAGUUAGUGUUAGUAUUAGUAAUAAUAGUCCUUAGCAAAGUAGCUAAUGUUUUAUGUAACGACGUCGUUUGAAACUCAAUGGUUUUAGAUGCACCGUAGACCAUGUGCAGGUGGGACAAUGUUGGUGAGGUUCCGAAGCCAACACAUCCGGUCUUCAGUGGCCCAUUGGAUUUUUAUCCAGUGAACUAGUAAGACAGUUCACGUCAUGGGAAGGAUCAGCUUAUCAUGCUUCCCAGCCUCCUGGCACUUCAGCCUGUCUCCCCUGGUUCUACCCAGUGUCCCACUACCUUCAUUCAGGCAGCUGCUCUUUGUUGGUCUGCUGGUGGGACUACUAGGACUGAUUUACCUGUUGCUGGUAACAGGAAAGGGCCAGGACAGCUGGAACAGAAAGGACAACUAUUUCCACAGGUGAGACACUUGUACCACAUUAGAAGAUAUACAUUUGUCCCCCAGUUGUUUGUAGAGGACACAUGCAGUGUAUGCCUUUUAUUUAUCUUGAUACAAAGUACAUGUUUGCCUGAAUUUGGCCUAAAAUGUUCAACUUUUCACCAAGACACUUGGCGAGGGUCACAGAUGUGGAGGCCACAGACACUAGCAAUCACAACUAUAGUCUGGUGGUGGACUGCGGCAGCAGUGGCUCCAGGGUGUUUGUGUACAAUGGUAAUCCCCAUGACCUGCUUGACAUCUGACAGAUGAGAGAUCAACACAGGAAGCCAGUGGUCAUGAAGAUCAAACCAAGUGAGGCAUACCAGGUUGCUGAUUACUGGUGUGCUGCUGGGAAUAGCCACAUGCACACAUUCUCACUAUUCUUUCAUAAUGUAGAAGACAUUGGCUUCUAGUUGACAUUGGGCUCCUAAGUGGAGCAGCGGUCUAAGGCAGUGCAUCCUACUGCAAAAGGCGACACUUCAGUCCCUGUUUUGAAUCCAGGCUGAAUCACAUUCGGACAACGACCCAUUCGGAUUCGGAGUCCCAUAGGGCGGUGCACAAUUAGCCCAGCGUCAUCCGGGUUUGGCCGGGUAGGCUGUCAUUGUAAAUAAGAAUUUGUUCUUAACUGACUUGCUUAGUUAAAUUCAAUUAAAAAAACAUGUUUUUUAAAAAUUGUUAAAUGAACUCAUCUGUUCCAUCCUAGAAAGACUGAGCCAUGGUCAUGACUUUCUGGUGUUCUUUAAAUAAAUAAAAAAUAAAAGGUAUCUCGGCACUAGCAAAAACACCAGAGAAGGCCAGUGAUUACAUCCACCCCCUGCUGAGCUUUGCUGCCCGGCACAUUCCUAAACAGAAGCACCAGGAGAUCCCUCUGUACAUCUUGUGCACAGCUGUAAUGAGGGUGCUGCCUGACAGUCAACAGGAGGCACUGCUUGAGGAUCUAUGGACUGACAUCCCUGUCCGUUUCAACUUCCUCUUCUCUGAUUCCCAUGUGGAGGUCAUUUCUGGCAAGCAGGAAGAUGAGCUAACCCGUUUUAUAGAAGCUGGCAAACUAAACACUGACCAUUCUGAUGGAGAAUGUCAUCAUGCCCAGUGUUGAAAAUUUGUAACAUAACAGUAGAAAUUCUGGAAUAUGUGACCGGGCUCUACAGUGUGACCAUUUUACAUAUGCGGCUAAAUAUUUUGCUGUGUGACGUAGAAUUGUAAUUUAGGAGCACCAGUGCAUUUAGAAAAAUGUAAGAAUUCUAGCUUUAUUAGCUCAAAUAUUUUUCAUUGUGCCCCUACAUUUCUUUGUGUGCACCUACAUUUUUCAACUGAGGGGUACACAUGCUCCUUGUAAAUGUAUUUUUAUUUAUUUUUAAGUCUGCAUAGAGCCCUGUAUGAAUUGUCCUUUCUUGUUUGGACAGGUGUGUAUGCAUGGAUUGGAAUCAACUUUGUCCUUGGAAAGUUUAAUCAUGUGGAUAGUGGGAUAUUCAGCAGGAGAGUCUGAAAGGAGUCCACUCCCAAUGGCGUCACAGCUUCUCCUUUGUCAACAACCACUACUCGUUCUUGGCCUGCUUCCUGGUUGUCCUCCUAUCCAUCCUGCUCUACUUGCUGCGCCUCCGACGUAUCCACAGCUGUACCACGCAACGCUGCACGCCCUCUACUGUUAAGUGGCUAGAGGAGGGUCUCAGAUCCCACCCACUCCCUAUCACCCUUUAGACUUCACAUCUGUCACUCCAAAAUCAGCCUUUUCUUCCCCAGCUGGAAUCCAUUUGCCUGCACCUUUAUGUUAAGGUCUUCAUUUCUUAGCUGGAAAUGACAAAGACUAGAACUUAGUUGGAUUUUGAAUGAGUCCAAUGAACAGAGACGUCAGACAGCAUUUGAAUGAACUGGUGUGGGAGAUAUUGCAUGUUGAGUUUGCACCAUCCAUGAAAUUCUUUUUUUAAUAUAUUUUUUUAUGAUAUCAAAAUAUCAGCCUUUUUUAUUUUUCUGGAAAUGUGAACAAGGUUCAAAAAGCAUAACUAUCCUUGCCUGAAGUUUGUGAGGUCCCAUCCGUACAUGGUCCAGUUAGGCAGGCUUGUUCAAGCUUCCUGUAAGGUUUAAAUGGCAGCUGCCUCACAACUUACCCUAAUUAGUCAUUCCUAAAAUGGCAUAUUGUGAAAGAAUGCCCAUAAACUGCUGUUUUUCCAAUGAACGGAGCAUAUCAUUGAACGAAUUUGACAAGACAAUAGUAGGUUUAUGAGGAGGAUGAUGAAACAGUUGCUGUUUUACAGUACAUAUUUAUAGAUUCACUGUUCUUGAGUAGAGUUUCACUUAUCUGUCACAUUAUCCUGAUGCAAUUUAAUUUCAGUGUCUCUGUUUGCAUUUUGGGUGCAUGAUCAGUGAAUGUUUAUUGGUUGUGGGGAGGAAUGUUGUGUGUACCUCUGUUCACCCUCAAAGUUUACUGCUCUGCUUGGCACCUGUCAUACUUUGAUUUACAGCUUAUUUUUUACUUAGACUGCUGCGCCACAGAAGAAAACUAAGGUUAUUCAUCUCAGUGCAAGAGGCGUCACAAUAGUACCUGGUUCAAAUUCAGGCUGUAUCAAAUCCGGCUGUGAUUAGGAGUCCCAUAGGGCGGCACACAAUUGGCCCAGCGAUGUCCGGGUUUGGCCUGAGUAGGCCAUCAUGGUAAAUAAGAAUUUGUUCUUAACUGACUUGCCUAGUUAAAUAAAAAUAUGCAGUUAACUACU